Molecule: ribosomal RNA, 385 nt
Filed under: uncultured bacterium
Lineage: Bacteria
Description: bacterial SSU rRNA
Rfam family: Bacterial small subunit ribosomal RNA
Source: RNAcentral
GACGAACGCUGGCGGCGUGCUUAACACAUGCAAGUCGAGCGGUAAGGCCCUUUCGGGGGUACACGAGCGGCGAACGGGUGAGUAACACGUGGGUGACCUGCCCUCAGCUCUGGGAUAAGCCUGGGAAACCGGGUCUAAUACUGGAUAUGACUCCAUGACGCAUGUUGUGGGGUGGAAAGCCUUGUGCGGCUGAGGAUGGGCCCGCGGCCUAUCAGCUUGUUGGUGGGGUGANGGCCUACCAAGGCGACGACGGGUAGCCGGCCUGAGAGGGCGACCGGCCACACUGGGACUGAGACACGGCCCAGACUCCUACGGGAGGCAGCAGUGGGGAAUCUUGCGCAAUGGGACGAAAGCCUGACGCAGCGACGCCGCGUGAGGAUGACGG